CACCAGUUGACAGAGUCACCCUAUUUCGAACAACCACACACAUACACAUAAUUUUUUUAAAACUGAUUAAAGAAUACUUCCUCGUGCAGUGCAGUUGGAGAACUUGGCAAGCAGUCUACAUUUAAAUGGAGUACAACUACUGUCUUUUCUUCCUUUGGACUCUCUCAGCCCAGCUGUAGCAGCUUCCUCCCUCCGCUGGCUCAGUUCCUUGUGCAUCGAGUACCAGGUGGAGUCUGGGGAUACAGCUAUUUACAUCACAGACUUAAUGCUGCUCUUCCUGGAACAAAGGAAAGCCUGACUGGUAACCAGAAGAUGGCACAUCAUAAUAAUAUGGAGAGAUAUGUAUCAUCUUGGCUGCUACCUGUGGCAGCAGCUUGUAAUGGAAUUAGUCAUGGCUAGAACUUCAUCAUGAUGAGGUUUGUGGCUAACACACUCUGAAACCAGCUGCAAAGUCUCAGAGGCUGAUAUCUUCUCACCAGGACAGAAGGUCACAGCAGUGCUAUUCGUUUGUACUCGGGUGUAUGGUUGUUCACUGACACUUGCGUCUUCCCUUCAAAACCAGUUUUUCCACUGUUGUUUCUUAAAGAAGAGUAGGCAGUGAAGGAGGCAUCUGACACCUCUGGCAAAACUUGCUAGACAAUUUUAACUGAAUUAACAUGUGGGUGUCAUAACUUUUAGUUUAAGCCAUCCUGUGCAGUUAUCUCUAUGUCACAAACUUCUGCUCAAAGGUAGUUCUGCACAGUAACGAUGAUAAGUGCUUAUCUCUUUGUUUUUCUAAGUAUUGUGUGGUACCAUCUGAGAAAAAUCAAAAGCUCUCACCUGUAUGCUUUUGUUGGACUUCCUGUGGGACAGUGAAUUACUUCAGGAAGGUUGGGUACAUGUGUAUCUUCUGAGGCUUCCAUGCGUGCCCUUCCUGAAAUGUACAUGGGCGGAUGACUCGGUACAGUCAAUAUGUGGUACAGAAACCUGACAGACACCCCUGCCUAUGUGUUGGCCUCUCGUCUGCCACCCAGUUCUCCCCUAACAGGAGCUAGAAGUAACAAGUACCUAUUUAAACAUGUUUAGAAAUGUGUGAAAGAAUACAUGCUCUUCUGCUGUUGCAGUAGCAACUGAGCUCUUCAGAAACCUCUGCUCCUAAGUCUUACCGUGGUUGUGAAUUUCAUGUAGUAAAAAUGAGCUCAAUAACAUUCACGUGGUUUUAUGAUGGUUGUUGAUACCAUAGGCUUCUCAAGAAAUUCUAUGCUAUUACUACCUAGAGUACUACAUUAAAGGGAAAAAAGGCUUCCUUCAAUAUAUUUACUUUUCUUCCCCCAGGAAAAGAAAAGCAUAAUUUUGAUUGACAAUUUUAUUGGAAAGUGUGUUUCCAGAACCAUUAUAACUGGUUCAAGUGUCUUGAAGUGCAUUUGGGCUCUCAUAUUCUUGUUGUUGUUGUUGUUGUCUCAUUUUGAGGUUUUUCCCACUGUAUGGAUUUUAUUACUCUGCCUCCUUUUCAAUUCCUGAGUUUUUGUGUUAUCUUUGUAGUUUUUGUCUGAAACAGUGAGAAUUGGAAACAUUAAAAAAAAAGAACUGAGGUUUUCUUGUAAUAACUGUUUUUUGUCAUCAGGAUCUAAAGAAAUCUUAUCAUCACUAAUGAAGUGAGUAGUAGAAGUAAACGUUUUUUAAAUAUUUAUUACUUCAUAGGGACAUAAAACUGAAAAAGUCUUUCUUAUUGAGCAUAUCUAAUCUCUGUUAUUACAUGAGAAUGUAACAAAAUCUUUUUUAGAAGGUACAAAGUGAUGUAUCUGAACUGCUUAGAUGUUUCUUCCCAUAGUCUUUGCUAUGCAGCUAUUUAGGUUGUUACUCCUCCAGUGGAGUACAUCCUUUUCAGCCUGAACAAAUUUUCUUGCGGUAUGGCAGUUGGUGUACCAGAACUUACACAUUAGUUGAUCUUUCUCGAAGAAAAAGAAUUGGGAUGUAGUUCCACUUUAUCUGCUGUGUGCAACAGAUCACUGGUGUUUAAGGAUUUGUCAAAGCUGGUGCCUGAUUCACAUUGCACAAUAAAAACAGUGACAAGUUACUAUGGAAAAGUGGUGUAUGGCUGUUUCAUGCUGCAAGCUCUGAGCACUUGGUAAAUACUAAAGGAUAGGUUUUCAAAUGCAGAAAAUGAAUACUCACCACCAGAGAGGAGGAAAGACAUGAUGUAACUUUAAUAUAUUUUCUAUUCAAUCUUAAUUCCUCUUCUAUUAUAAAAUUAGUAGAGAAGAGAUGGUGGGAUUGCUUUGAUCGCGUUUUCACUCUGUUCCAACUGCUGCAGUUUGUGAGCCAGUGCCUCAUAUGCUUUUUGUCAAUUUUGCACUGCUGAAUGUGGGCUUUCUAAUGCCAACCACAGGAAAUGCAGGACCAAAGGCACCUGAAGAGAUGAUCUUUCAGCUGUACUUCUGUUUCCAGCAGCUACUUACACAUCUCUUCUGAGAAGUGCUCGUCUGAGUCAGUGUGUCAAUGCCUAGUCACAGCUCAUUUUAUCUCUGCUCUUCCAAUUAUUAAUUAGUUUUCACUGAUAUCUGAGCUUGUACAACUUAUGUUUCAGUUCUGUCCUUCUCACCACAGCUGGUGAUUAUCAGACAUUCUUUUUUUUUUCUCUUAUUUUUUGCAGAAGUCUUUCUAUAUUUGAAGCAUAUUAUUGGUUAGCAAUAAAAAAGAAAAGAAACUUCUAACACAGGAUCAUUCUUCUUGAUGUCUGCUGUUCUUUCUCUGGCUCUGUCCAGUUCUGAGAAAUGUAAUGGCCAUGACUUCCUACCUGCAAUUGAGUUCUUUAUUAGGAUGGGCAAGAUUUGUUGCUGAUGGAUCCAAAAAACUGUUGUUACUCUUACUGCAGAUUUGUUCAAUUAUUUACCAUAUUCUGGGGAUUUAAGUUAAGCCUAACAAUCUGCAUGUAGUUUAACGUCUCACUUCUUCCUUUUUUAACACUCCCUUUUUAGAAGCAGCCACCAAGCUCGUCUUUUCCAGUUUUCUUGUACAGCAACCACUCUGUUAG
This is a long non-coding RNA of Gallus gallus (chicken), 3013 nucleotides long. Lineage: Eukaryota; Metazoa; Chordata; Aves; Galliformes; Phasianidae. The record is from Ensembl.